Molecule: small nucleolar RNA, 86 nt
Organism: Rhododendron vialii
Lineage: Eukaryota; Viridiplantae; Streptophyta; Magnoliopsida; Ericales; Ericaceae
Product: small nucleolar RNA U30
Exons: 1
Source: RefSeq, a predicted model, not a curated record
AGGUGUGAUGAUGAGACAUGUUUAUCUCGUUUAUCUGAUGAUUUAUGAGGAGAAACGCUUAAAUCCAUUCUCAUAAGUUUCUGAGC